UUUAGUUACACAAGUUCUUGUUGCAACCUCGAGGUUUUAAACCGCUUGCAAGUAGUGGUACCGAGAAUAUAGAUAAAGUGUGUCCCUUGAAAGUAAAGAAAGUGAUUGGAAAGAUUAAGGUUGAAGUGAGAAAAGUAAGAAUCAUCCCACAAAGAAAACUCAAGGACACAUACUCUCAGCUAAGUGCUAUAUAUGUGCAAGCAGGAGUCGAGUACAUCCGACACGUAUCUUCACUUGUAAAAAGCAAAAUUAACAAAUUAGGAAUCUCUUCAUUCUCGCUUUCGUGUGAAGAACCGGUGACAUGCUUAUUGCAACUUAAAAGCUCUGAAGAACAUAUAGAAACGGAAUCAACCUUGGCAUUUGUUUGAGGCCUGGAACCGGUGAUUCCCAUGACUUUUUCCCGGAGAAUCAAGCAGAUGCCCUUUUGCUAGAAGUGCAGGGUGAGAAGAGAAUUAUCCAGUGUCGUGCAGUUAUUCUUUCAUCCUUACAUGAU
Molecule: long non-coding RNA, 493 nt
Organism: Helianthus annuus (common sunflower)
Lineage: Eukaryota; Viridiplantae; Streptophyta; Magnoliopsida; Asterales; Asteraceae
Exons: 4
Source: RefSeq, a predicted model, not a curated record